AAAUAUUUCCUAUACAAAAUAAUCUGUCAAAGGAUAAUAGACCCGCUGUUGUUUUCUUUUACAGUAAUUCUCCUAGACUCAUGCUGCUGCUGAACUUCUAGAGCAGUCACAUAUCAAAUGGCUAUAUAUGAGAAAAAGGAAGGAAUUUCAGAUCAUCCUGUAGCCCUCUCCUCCAGAGAACUGAGGAAGUGGAAAUGGCCUUCAGCUGGUCCAGGGAGGACAUGUCUCCUCCACCUGGACACUCCUCAUCGGCAACAUGGUAGAGUGGGAGGAUCCCAAGGCACAUCUGUGCCUCCUGUGAUGAUUCAUCAUCUCCAGUGCAUUUGUCUACUCUCCAUGUGGCAGGGGGAAAGUCUCCUGUCAUCAGUUACUUUCUUCAGAACUGGCACAGUGUACAGAGUAGAUUUCUCCUUCAAUAAAUAACACUGUAGUCAUUAAAGAUCAUCACUUCUCCAUGCAGUCAACAACAAUUUGAAUGUGGAAACCUUCAUGACAGCCCUCCCUGCCACAGGAAAGGAAAUAUCUUUGGUCAGUGUCUCAUCCCUUCAAGGUCUCUAUUCCUGGUCUUGAAAUAAUAUUUAUAGCCCCAUUUUUCUUGUCAGUGCCAUUCUCUCUUCACAAGAAGGAGCCAGUUCAGAGUAAUCAUUACCACCAUGUUUUAUGCAGGAGUCCACAUCUAAUAGCAAAUACUCCUUCUGGGCCAAGUUGAUGAGAGCAGUGUCGUGCAGCACUUCUGCUGUCUCUGCCUAGCUCAUUCAGCCUGGCCUAUUGGUCUCCUCUUAUAUUUUUAUUUCAGUUUCUGUAUUACUAUUCCAGAAAUGGAUAUGUUUCAAGUAAUCUGACAGGUUCUCUCCCCUUCCUGACUAUUUUAUUAUUUUCAGUGAAAUGUAUUUUGUACAGCUUCUUUUGCUCAUCAUCAUAAAAACCAAAGAAGUAGAUUUUUUCUGGCAAGUGAAAAAAGUCUGACAAUUCUGUAUUCAGGACUGAAUGCAAGUUAAAUGACACUGUACUGAUCCACUAUGAAAACAAACAAAGUUCACAAACCAGCCCCCAAAAUCUGAUAUUUCAUAGUUUCAGAGGGGCUUUCCUAACAACUGGGCUGCAGCUGAUGGUACAGUGCAUCACUUUUAACUUCAGUAAAAAGCUUUUGUUAUACUUCCAGAUAAACAAAUGUACAACUCCUUAUUUACUAGUGGCAAAAGACUUUCUGUAUUUUCAUUCCCAUGCAGAACCUUAUUUGGAUAGUGUACACCUGAUGAACUUGAAGCACUUGUGAGGCAUAUUGGUACUGAAUUUAUAAAGUUUUUAUUUUGAGGAGUGUUUCUGCAUAAUAUUUAUGUUAAGCCUGAAGUUACAUGGCUGAAGGCAAACUAUUUGGGAGACUACAAAUCACCUAACCACAGUCCACAGGAAUGAAAAAGGAGUAGUCCCAGAGACCUUUUUAUCUAUCACAUAAGAAACUUGGAAAGAUAGAGGUAACAUGGAAAAUAUGAAUAGUUAUGAAUAUUUUUUACAAUAUGGUUCCCCAUCAUCAUCCUCAUUCCCACCCUUACAGCCAAGGAUGGCUCAUUGGUUUGGUGACAUCUAUGAUCUUUGCCCCUCUGUGUUGAUGAAAACUCUUGCCUAAUACUACAAAGAAAUAAAGUUGAAUUGAGGUAUAUUUUGAAGUUAAUU
Molecule: long non-coding RNA, 1674 nt
Organism: Cyanistes caeruleus (blue tit)
Lineage: Eukaryota; Metazoa; Chordata; Aves; Passeriformes; Paridae
Source: Ensembl